Molecule: unclassified non-coding RNA, 1341 nt
Filed under: uncultured cyanobacterium
Lineage: Bacteria; Bacillati; Cyanobacteriota
Description: bacterial SSU rRNA
Rfam family: Bacterial small subunit ribosomal RNA (bases 1-1058)
Source: RNAcentral
UGAAGAAAAAGCAUCGGCUAACUCCGUGCCAGCAGCCGCGGUAAUACGGAGGAUGCAAGCGUUAUCCGGAAUCAUUGGGCGUAAAGGGUCCGCAGGUGGCGAAUAAAGUCUGCUGUUAAAGACCGGGGCUUAACUCCGGAAAGGCAGUGGAAACUGAUUAGCUAGAGUACGGUAGGGGUAGAGGGAAUUCCCAGUGUAGCGGUGAAAUGCGUAGAUAUUGGGAAGAACACCGGUGGCGAAAGCGCUCUACUAGGCCGAAACUGACACUGAGGGACGAAAGCUAGGGUAGCGAAAGGGAUUAGAUACCCCUGUAGUCUUAGCGGUAAACGAUGGAUACUAGGUGUAGCUUGUAUCGACCCAAGCUGUGCCGAAGCUAACGCGAUAAGUAUCCCGCCUGGGGAGUACGCACGCAAGUGUGAAACUCAAAGGAAUUGACGGGGGCCCGCACAAGCGGUGGAGUAUGUGGUUUAAUUCGAUGCAACGCGAAGAACCUUACCAGGGCUUGACAUGUCGCGAAUCUAGCGGAAACGUUAGAGUGCCUUAGGGAAUGCGAACACAGGUGGUGCAUGGCUGUCGUCAGCUCGUGUCGUGAGAUGUUGGGUUAAGUCCCGCAACGAGCGCAACCCUCGUCCUUAGUUGCCAAUAUUAAGUUAGGCACUCUAGGGAGACUGCCGGGGACAACUCGGAGGAAGGUGGGGAUGACGUCAAGUCAGCAUGCCCCUUACGUCCUGGGCGACACACGUACUACAAUGGUUGGGACAAAGGGCAGCAAGCUCGCGAGAGUAAGCGAAUCUCAUCAAACCCAGCCACAGUUCAGAUUGCAGGCUGCAACUCGCCUGCAUGAAGUAGGAAUCGCUAGUAAUCGCAGGUCAGCAUACUGCGGUGAAUUCGUUCCCGGGCCUUGUACACACCGCCCGUCACACCAUGGAAGCUGGCUACGCCCGAAGUCGUUACCCUAACCCGGUUUUGGGAGGGGGAUGCCGAAGGUAGAGCUAGUGACUGGGGUGAAGUCGUAACAAGGUAGCCGUACCGGAAGGUGUGGCUGGAUCACCUCCUUUACAGGGAGACCUAGUCUAAUUACCAAUAGAUGAAAAAGUUGGUAAUUCGCAAGAAUCCUUAGGUCGUGAAGGGAGCAAGAAGAAACUUUCAAACUGUAAUGGGUGAGGGUACUCGGGCUAUUAGCUCAGGUGGUUAGAGCGCACCCCUGAUAAGGGUGAGGUCCCUGGUUCAAGUCCAGGAUGGCCCACCUGAAAUACACAGGCAGGAUGCCACAAAAAAAGGAAAAAAUUUUAGCAUUGUCUCUUGUAAUCAAGAGCAAGAGAUAAUGCUGGAAUCUAUUCC